GUGCUCGGCUGGCGGGACGCCUGCGAGCCCGCACGGCCGGGCGCUGCUGCCCCUGCCUUCCGCCCGGUCACGCCGGACGUUGCGCUCUGAGGUGUUUCUCGAUGCUCGCCGGCUUCCCAGCACGGACGGUGGAAAAGUUGUUGCAGGCUGAACGCGCUCCCCGAGAGCCCCGCUGGUGGUCGGUCCCGCCAGCUUCCGGCGUCGAGCUGUCGCUGUAGCUCGUCACCCCAGCAGAUUCUGUGGAAAUGCUGAAGAGAAAAGUACCCCUCAGAUGAGCGUGGUCGGCGACCAGUCUUUCCCGAAGGCGAUGGCAGGGACCAAAACAAGCCGGGUUUGGUUGCUAGCUGCAAACUGAGAGAAGCAGGCUGAGGGCUGCCAGGCGGGAUGGAUCCCUGUGGAGACCCGGCAGUGCCUGGUGGCGACUGUCUCCAGACUAGGGGAGCGGGGCUCCAGGGGGCGUCUGGCCAGGAGGGUCCUCUGCAGGGCACUUGCGUGGACAGCAGCCACAGUGAACACGAAGACCGAAACAGAAUGUCUGAAGACCUUUUAAUGGUUGUCCAAGAAAUGAAAAAGUAUUUCCCAGCCGAGAGGCACACUAAGCCCACCACCCUAGAUGCUCUUAACUAUGCCCUGCGCUGUGUACAUAGUGUGCAAGCAAACAGUGAAUUUUUCCAGAGUCUCAGUCCACACGGAGCACGCCAGGCAGAUGUGACUGUAUACAGUCUUGAGGACCUGACCUCUCUGGCUUCUGAACAUACUUCCAAGAACACAGACACCUUUGUGGCCGUGUUUUCGUUUCUGUCUGGAAGGUUAGUGCACAUUUCUGAGCAGGCUGCUUUGGUCCUGAAUUCUAAGAAAGGUUUCCUCAAGAGCUUGCACUUUGUCGACCUGCUUGCCCCUCAAGACGUGAGGGUGUUCUACGCGCACACUGCUCCAACUCAGCUUCCUUUCUGGAACAACUGGACCCAAAGAGACUCGCAGUAUGAAUGUGCACCAGUGAAACCCUUCUUCUGCAGAAUCUGUGGAGGUGGAGACAGAGAGCAGAAGAGGCAUUACUCCCCAUUCCGGAUCCUCCCCUAUUUGGUUCAUGUACAUAGCUCUGCCCAGCCGGAACCAGAGCCUUGCUGUCUAACACUGGUUGAAAAGAUUCACUCUGGUUACGAAGCUCCUCGAAUCCCUGUAGAUAAAAGAAUUUUUACCACAACACACACUCCAGGAUGUGUGUUUCUUGAAGUAGAUGAAAGAGCAGUGCCUUUGCUGGGUUACCUACCUCAGGAUCUGAUUGGAACAUCGAUCUUAACAUACUUGCACCCAGAAGAUCGGCCUCUGAUGGUUGCCAUACACCAAAAAGUUUUAAAGUAUGCGGGCCACCCUCCGUUUGAACACUCGCCCGUCAGAUUCUGCACUCAGAAUGGAGAUUAUGUCAUUCUGGAUUCCAGCUGGUCCAGCUUUGUGAACCCCUGGAGCCGGAAGGUCUCCUUCAUCAUUGGUCGACAUAAAGUCCGAACGAGUCCAUUAAAUGAAGAUGUUUUUGCCACCAGAAUAAAAAAGGCAGCCAGUAACGACAAAGACAUAGCAGAAUUACAAGAACAAAUUCACAAACUUCUCUUGCAGCCGGUUCAUGCUAAUGCUUCCAGUGGCUACGGGAGCCUGGGCAGCAGCGGCUCACAGGAGCAGCACAUCAGCAUCACCUCUUCGAGUGAGUCAAGCGGACACUGUCCGGAGGAAGGCCAGCAUGAGCAGAUGACCCUGCAGCAGGUCUAUGCCAGUGUAAACAAAAUUAAGAAUGUGGGCCAACAGCUCUACAUCGAGACGAUGGCCAGAUCAUCAGUAAAGCCCGUGACAGAGACAUGCGUGGAACUGCAGGGUGGUGAUGAGCAGAAGGACUUUUCUUCCUCUCAGACUCUGAAAAAUAAAAGCACCACAGAUACCGGCUCCGGUGGCGAUCUGCGGCAAGAGCAGGACAGCUCGUCCUAUCAGCAGAUGAACUGUAUCGACAGUGUCAUCAGGUACCUGACAAGCUACAGCCUCCCAGCCUUGAAAAGAAAGUGCAUCUCCUGCACAAACACGUCUUCAUCCUCAGAAGAAGCCAAGCCAAUCCCAGAGGCGGACAGCAGCCAGCGAGACACUGAACAGCUCCUAGACAUACCUAAACAGGAAACAACUGAACCAUCCACAGACGUCGAAGGAGGUGUUGCACAGACCCUGUCCACCGCCACACUGAGCGUGGUGUCCGGCAUCAGCCAGUGCAGCUGCAGCAGCAUCACUGACCAUGCUCCGCCUCUGCAGUCAGCAGAAAGCGUUGCCGUGGCGUGUAAGCCGUGGGCCCUGAGAACAAAGGCCUCUCACCUGUCUGCAGGAAGAUUUAAGCACGUGGGGCUCACAGCGGCUGUCCUCUCCGAACACACACAGAAGGAAGAGCAGAACUAUGUUGACAGGUUUCGGGAAAAGAUCCUGACCUCGCCCUACGGUUGCUAUCUUCAGCAAGAGAGCAGAAACCAUGCUCAGUGCUCCUGUGCUCAAGCAGGGUCCACCUCUCAGCACAGCAGAUGUGCUGGAAGUGAGAGACGGAAGCACAAACGGAAGAAGUUGCCAGCACCUGUAGACACCAGCAGCUCCGGUGCCCACCUCUGUCCCCAUGUCAGAGGACUCCUUCCAGAUGAGCAGCACUGGAGCCUGUCCGCUAGCCCCUCCCCCGUUGGUGCAGGCUUAGCUUUCCCCAGCCAGACCCCUUAUCUCCUCCCCUCUUUUCCCCUCCAAGAUAUGGCCUCUCAGGGAGUAGGGGACUCGGGAGCCUGGGGAGCUGCAGCUGGCUGUCCACCUCUGUCCACUGGCCCCCAGUCUGUUUCCGCAUUCCCCUCUGCUUACUUGGAUACUUUGAUGACCAUCUUCCUGCACAACACCCCUCUCUUCCCUCUGUGGCCACCAUCGUUCUCUCCGUACCCGUUCCUGGGGGCCGCAGGUUCUUCUGAACUGGCUCCAAACCUGGAACCAACCACUUCAGACCACAGCCAGAGGAGAGAGGAGGAGAACUGGGAGACACACAGUGAAGAGCUUCCGUUCUUUAGCUCACGGAGCAGUUCACCACUGCAGUUAAAUUUACUCCAGGAAGAAAUGCCUGCACCGUCAGAGUCCGCAGAUGCAGUGAGGAGAGGCGCUGGGCCAGAUGCUAAGCAUCACUGUGUUACAGGUCCCAGUGGCAAUAGGAGCCGUCACUGUGCCUCUGGUGAGCUGGCCACGGCAACCGCGCAGCAGGAGUCUCCGUCUGCAGCUGCCUCAGAAAGCAGUACCAGCAGUAUAAACUUCAGUAGCAGUGACUACGCUUCUGAAGGCUCUGAAAACAGUCAGAGGCCACAGGAUAGACAGAGAGACGAAGCCCUUCCCGGGACGGCUGAAGAGUCCAUCUGGAGAAUGAUAGCGCGGACGCCAGAGUGUGUUCUCAUGACGUACCAGGUGCCCGAGAGGGGUCGAGACGAGGUGCUGAAGCAGGACCUGGAAAAGCUUCACCGCAUGGAGCAGCAGCAGCCCCUGUUCUCUCCUGCGCAGAGGGAGGAGCUGGCCAAAGUGCGCUCCUGGAUCCACAGCCACACUGCCCCUCAGGAAAGAUGCCUCCAGGGACUCACCAUGUAGACCAGGCUGUCCUCAUGGAAACCCACCUGUGCCAUUUGCCACCACACCCACCAGUGAUGCUUAUUGCAAAACAUACAGAAUCUGGGAUUCCAAGGCUGGGAGAUGACUCGUGGUGCAUGGGCUAAAGGACCAAAGUUGAGAUCCCAAAACCCAGGGCUUUCUCCUGCUUCCGUGUCCACGGUCUGGCGCAGGGUCUGCAGGAGGGCCAUCCUCUCCAGCUCCUCCAGAGCCCGAAGAGCUUCCUCAAGCACUGUGGGGUAGAGACAGACACAGAGCCCACCCUGGGCUUCACUUGGCUGUUCUGUUUCCUGUCAUCGAUGAGUACCAGGGACAGAGAGGUGGGAACUGGAGACAUGCCACAGUGGCACUUAGCAGAUAUAAAGUGCUAUGCAAGUCAUCAGGAGUCCAUGGAGGAACCCAUGGGCCACCCCUCCCUGCCGACAUGUUCACCCAUGUUCUGCCUCAGAAGUCUGACUGAUCCUCAUCUCUGUGUAUCCACUGCUACCUCUUGCUUUGUGUUCCCAUAGUGAAGUUGACAGUGGCACCUCUAUUGCGCCUCAUAGGGGACAUUCACAGGAAGCUCAAACUCUUUGUUGUGGCUUCUGUGUGAAAGGUGAUGUAAAGUGGGUAUGUGGAGGGAAGUGUGGUAAAUGCAUGUUUGGUAUGCAAGGUAAGUGUAUGUGGGUAUAUGCUAUGUGCAAGCUGUAUGUACCGUGUAUGGUGUGAGAUAUAAGGGCAGGCAGCGUGUAUGGCAAGUACAUGUGAGGAGUGAUCUUCAUAAUAACAGGGAUAAAUGUACAGAGUGCACAGUGUGUGACCAGUGGCGGCUGGUAGUGGGACAUGUGCCUUGGGCAGGUGCCAGCGUGUUGAGAUGCUCAGGGAGUCUGACUGGAAAGCCACACAAGACCCUGAAAUGCUGCAGAGUGACAAGUACUCAUCUGCAACCUUGGUGAAAGACACUAAAGGCGCCUGCCCGAGCGAGUGCAGCCACGGUAGUCCUUGGGAGCUGGCCUCCAUAUUGUGAUGAUGUGUAAAUGCCUGCCUGUGAUGAAGGAUGUCUGUGGAGAAAAAAACGUGAGGGGAAAAAAAUCUGAUAAAAACACUAAGCUUCCACGGGUUUGGAAUUUCAAUAACAGGCUGCCCUCUCCUGCCCUCCCUCGUAGCUGUUUAAAGUGGCAUCAGUAUCUGAACACUCCUGAUUUCCUCAGAGAGGAAGAGCAGGGUGUACUGCUCUUUUACAGUAACAGCAUUGGUUCGUGCCUGGCCUCGAGCAUCAGGGUCAGUGCCAGUGUGACCUCAGUGACCCCGGCAGCUGAUGGUCAGGACGUAAGUGAUGCUUUGACAGGACAUGAGAUGCUCUGAGACACUCGGAGUGCUGGCGGAGGCUGGACGGUCCAGUGGCAGGAGCUGGAACAGAACUUACUUAGGAAAAGAUCCGAAAGGACCCAAGAGCCACGCCAGUGAACCAGCUUAGCAGACAGAGGUUGCCUGCCACCAAGCCUGCCCACGUGGUGGAGAACUAGGGGACCCUCUGACUUCCACAUCUGGGCACAGACAAUAAACAUGAAGGAAAUUUUGCUUAGGUAUCCAAAACCAAGUAUUAAAUCCAGUUAACAUUUUUUUUUAUGGACUCUAAUACACAACCUGCUACCAGACUGAGAGGCUGUGGUAAAGUUUCUAACUUUUUCCCUUUCAGCCGAACUUGAGUAGAACAUUAAGUCAAAAGGAAAGCAGACUUGGAUGCCUCUGCGGUCCCCAGCUUCAGCCGCCACUCUGCUUAAUUAAGCCUUUUCGUUCCAUAGAGCACACGCAGAGGUGUGCUUUCUAACUCACAACAGAGUACGCUACUCUCUGUCGCUGGAAAAAACAACUCCUGCAUUCAAUCAGUUCAUUCCCAAACCCAAGGCAAUGCUUUAAGUCCAAUUUUUAUGAACAAAAGUGACAAGGAAAGUUGGAAGUACAUUUGUUACAUGAAAUAGGCAAUUUGUUUAGAGAAGACCAUGCCCAUUGCUAAAUCUAAGACCUGCUGUAAGGAUCCCUCAAGCCUCUUUUCAAAGCGUGGUUGCACCUACAGAAGUCUCUUUUCAGCCAGCGUCCUCCUCCUCCUGCCCUUGAGUGGCGCCCAGAACUGAAAACAAAAAAACAAAAACAGAAACAAAAGCAAGCAGUCACCUCACCUGGAGGCUGAAGAGUCCCUUCACCAGUGUCCAUGACGGGAAGGGACAGGAGUGGAUUCAAGAGUCCUAUGAAGAGCAAGCAGCAGAAGGGCACCCUGUCCAUGACGACGGCGAGAAGUCCGGCUGGGCGUCUGCUCUGGAGAACUUCCGACUCUCCUCAUUGAGGGAUUGCCCGUUUUAUCUAUCACCCUGUGACCUCAUAUGUCCCCUCCAAAAAAAAAAUAGAAUGAAUUUAUUGGCUAGGGAGGCUGAAAGGCAAUCACUUUGCAUUGAUGUAAUUUUUCAGAGUAACAAUUCAUAGACAAUAAAUUUACUGGCUUGUUGACUGGUGUUCAAAAUGGGUAUUC
RNA transcript from Mus pahari (shrew mouse), 6154 nucleotides. It is a transcript of the gene named period circadian regulator 3, with no coding region annotated. The transcript has 22 exons. The record is from RefSeq and is a predicted model, not a curated record. NCBI's taxonomy places the organism in Eukaryota, Metazoa, Chordata, Mammalia, Rodentia, Muridae.